GACGAACGCUGGCGGCGUGCUUAACACAUGCAAGUCGAACGGUGAAGCGGAGCUUGCUUCGUGGAUAGUGGCGGACGGGUGAGUAACGCGUGGGCAAUCUACCCUAGAGACGGGGAUAACGCCGGGAAACUGGUGCUAAUACCGGAUGAUUUUAUCUCAAGGCAUCUUGAGGUAAGGAAAGGGAGGCCUCUGGAAUAAGCUUCCGCUUUAGGAAGAGCCCGCGUCCCAUUAGCUAGUUGGUAGGGUAACGGCCUACCAAGGCGACGAUGGGUAGCCGGCCUGAGAGGGUGACCGGCCCGAGGGGCACUGAGAUACGGGUCCCACUCCUACGGGAGGCAGCAGGCUAGAAAUUUGGGCAAUGGGGGAAACCCUGACCCAGUGACGCCGCGUGCAGGAAGGAGCCCUUCGGGGUGUAAACUGCUGUCGUGUAGGGAGAAGGGUACUAAGGUGAACAAUCUUAGUACUUGACGGUACUACAGGAGGAAGCCCAGGCUAACCUCGUGCCAGCAGCCGCGGUAAUG
This 521-nucleotide ribosomal RNA is filed under the name uncultured bacterium. Its description in RNAcentral is "bacterial SSU rRNA". It matches the Rfam family "Bacterial small subunit ribosomal RNA", at positions 28 to 525 of the family's 1533-position model. The record is from RNAcentral.